Prunus persica (peach) is the source of this 2431-nucleotide long non-coding RNA. RefSeq lists it as uncharacterized. The transcript has 2 exons. The record is from RefSeq and is a predicted model, not a curated record. NCBI's taxonomy places the organism in Eukaryota, Viridiplantae, Streptophyta, Magnoliopsida, Rosales, Rosaceae.
UAUAUCGACGCCAAAACCAUGUCAACGCCGCUACAGUGAUUUUUUUAACAAAAUAUUUUAACUCUCCCUCGCAUCCCUCUCUCUUCGCUCUCGCGAUACUCACUUUCCUUGUUUCUUUUCCUCCAUCGAGUUCUUCUACAUCCUCAAUCUCUGCCGCCAUACUCUUUGUCCUCCAUCCAUCUCUGCCGCCAUCUUCUUUUUCUCCGUCUCUACCGCCAUCUUCUCCUAAACCCUAAAAAUUAGAACCAACAAAACCUAAUUUCUGAGCCCCCUUUUGAUAUCUCCGAUUCGAUUUGAUUCGAAUCCAAAUCUGAGGACGCGAUGGGCGAUUUCAACCUCUCGCGCUUCAUUGUCGCCAUUAUCCUCUGCGUCAUCGUCUCUGUUCCUUUCACUCAAACAUGUCCAUCACAUCACUAUCAUAAAUGAGCAAUACCGGUGGAUUGCAUAUUUGUCAAUCUUCAUAGCAUUGCAUAUUUGAAUGAACUAGUUCAGGUUCUGGUUCUGGUGAAAUCUGUAAGCUUGAGGUUUGUUUCCUUCUACUCUGUGUCUCUAUGUUUGUAGUGUUGCUGAUGUGAACCUUUUGGUUGGUCAAUUUCGUGUUUUGCUUUCUCCAAGAUCAUGACGAUUAGAUUGGGGAUUUAUGUGGAUUUGUUUCUGAUUGGAUUGAAAUUUUUUGAAAUUUACAGAAUUUGAUUUACUUGAUUUCAUGAUGGCUUUACUUUUUGGUUCGUUGAGUUAUUACUAUGCAGUUUGAUCAAAAACUGCAAUGCAUUUUGUUUUUGUUAAGCAUGUAUUAUGAUUGGAUUUGGUUUUUAAAAAAAAAUAAAAUUUGAAGUGUAUGUAUCGAAAAUUAUAAAAUUCUAGGUGCAUUUUAAGUUGAUUUGUUGAGCAUCUCUCAUCAUGGUUGUGCUUUCUAAUUUCCUUGUUCAUUACAAUUGCAACAUCUUUAUCAGUAUAAUGCAUGAGUUAUUCUUCUUUCAUAAUUUGAUUUUAGUUGUGCUUAGAAACUGUAUUUAAAAUAGAUUAGCUCAUCAUUUGUUUGAUGACAAUAUUAGUUCUUUUGCUGCGACACAAGUUUAAAAGAGAUGGUAUUGAUGUUCAAAUGGCAUGUCGGGUUGUCAGUGUUUCUAAUAAGGAAAUCACAAUGAAGGUGAAAUCCAAGAGAGAGUCUCUGUACAACAUGUGUUGGUUGUGUGGUCUACUGGUAUUGGGACUCGUCCAGUUGAGAGGGACUUAAUGAAACAGAUUAGGCAGGUUUGUUUCAUAACAUUUAUGCACAUACAAAGCCUGAGAAAUAUAGAAUUCACAUUUUAGUUAAUUGGUCUUUUACAUCGAGGGUUUUCCUAAUCUGUGGACUAAUAUGGCUGCUAUAUGGGUCACAUGCUUACUCAAGCAUAAUUUAUAUUCCGCUCCAUGUGUAGGCUGAUAAACGUGUUCUAUUGACUGAUGAAUGGUUGUAUGUAAAGGGUUGUGAAGAUAUGUAUGCAAUUCGUGAUUGUGCUUCAUCUUGGAACCAAAGAGCCAAGAUUAAAAGUAAGCUUACAAGGAAAUAAUCAUUCAAGGAUUUCAUGGACAUACUGGUUCAAGAGAGUUCUGUAUUAUUAGGUUGCUCUUAUUUAUGUGCUUACCAGACUAGUGGUCAAUGUUUCACAGGUCAAGACUUUUUUUUUUCUCCCUCUUUGUGAUGCUUGUUUUUGUUCAUGAAAAGAAAUAACUCAAUUUUUAUGGCAUGGUUUUGUUACUUUUGAUUUUGUUUUUUUGGAUUAAUGAACGCUUUUCAUCCAUUUCCAUAUUCUUUUAGAAGUUUUUUGGGUUGAAUUUAGAUUUGGUAUUGUUUUGCUAGUUUGAGUCUAGUGCUGUUCUUUAUUCAAAGAUUUCGUUUUGUUAUUCUUGGGGUUGAAAAUUUACCUCAUUGACCCUAUAAUAAUUUUGUUUUUGGAGUUGUAUUCCUUUUUUGUUUGUAAUCCGAUUAUGAAAUGCGGAUAUUAUUGCAAUGCUUUGUUUUUGGAGUUGUAUUCUUUUUUUCGGAGUUGUAUUAUUGCAAUCCGAUUAUGGAAUGUGGAUAAUAUGGAAAUUGAAUUUUUUCAAUGAACUACUAAAUUGAUUAUAGUCUUCACUUUGGGCUUCAAUUUCUUCAGAUUUUAGAGAUCUCUCUUUAGGUUUAUUUGGCUUGACUGGAAAGUAAUUUAUACAAUUUUUCUUAAUCUUAUACGCUCUUUUUGUUUAAUUUCAAUAUUCGAGAAGUGGAAAAAAGAAGGAAUUUUACACCCAAACACAAUUGGACAAGGUUCGAGAUGAAUGGUCAUGUCAUGUGCUAGAGUGGAUUUGAGUUUGAACAUUAUCCUUGUUGUUUCGGUAGUAUUUUGCUUAUACAUGUAUGGAUGAUGGAUGGAUUUUGGUUUAAUGGCAGGAGAACUCAUAAGUUUACCUA